UUCGCCUCUGGGGAAACAUUAAUUGUUAAAAUAAAGCGCAAUUUAUCUGUUCUUAUCAGCUUAAUAUCUGAUACACUCCCCAUUGGGGAGUCAGAAUAUUAAUCUCAUUUUUGAAAACGGUCGGAUUUCGGAGCUUGCUCCGACUCCGACACGGGUCGCACCUGUAUUGCAUUACCGCAGGACGCGGCCCACACAUA
Osmia lignaria (orchard mason bee) is the source of this 197-nucleotide non-coding RNA. The record is from RefSeq and is a predicted model, not a curated record. Lineage: Eukaryota; Metazoa; Arthropoda; Insecta; Hymenoptera; Megachilidae.